RNAcentral lists this long non-coding RNA (1674 nucleotides) under Chrysolophus pictus (golden pheasant). Its description in RNAcentral is "lncRNA (ENSCPIG00010013801.1)". Lineage: Eukaryota; Metazoa; Chordata; Aves; Galliformes; Phasianidae. The record is from RNAcentral.
CGUUACGCGACGCGCCUCAUCGCAGCGGAGCUGUACGUCAUCAGUGUGCGCAGCGCCGGUCACGUGCCCCUUGUUUACCUCCGGCGGGAGUUGCGCCGCUGCGGGCUGUGAGCGGGCGGCUUCCCUGGGAGGAGGGGAAGCACCUCGCGGCGAGGGCAGGCUUCCAAUGUCGCUGCCAACAAAGAGGUGUGGAAGACCCCCGGUGUUGUCUUUUUUGGAAAAGAAAAAGAGAAAGCAAAGUCUUGAUAGGAGGAGAGGGAAAACCAGGAUUUAUGUUGGAAAUCAUAUUGACCGAUGGCUGACACUGAAGGAAAAACUGGAUUUCAGAAAUGAUGCAGAAGUUGCUGGGUUUUUAUUGGACUUGUAUGACAACUAUGACCCGCUGACAAAAGCUCCCAUCUGUUCCCUCCCCGGGGAUGUGAGAAGAAUUACUGUGAAAGAAGACAGAACACUGUCAGACAGUGCUUGCUUAAUAGCAGCUGACGGAACGUAUGAUGAUGGUGACCAACUGUCUAAAGCGGCUGCUUGUUCUGAAUAUGGAGACUUCAGAAUUGUCACUGUGAAAGAAGAGCGAGAGAUGCCACCUCAUUGUUCAUCAGUGGAGACAGAUAACACGUUAGUGAUACCACAGGAUUCUGUUUGCAUGUUUUACAUUUGUCAAUGUUUUGUAUUGACUUUUAUUAUCACUUUUAAUUUAGCUUAUCAGAAGCUCACAUCAUUCAAUUCAUGCUUUGUUUCCUUACCUGAAAGGGGAUGAUCACUCCGGUCACUGUGAGGGAAGCAUCUGGGAGAGUUUUUGGAAGAGUUGUUUCUUAGAGUGUACGCAGCAAACUUCUUGUUCAGUGACUUGUCUUCCUGAAGUCUGUGAAUGGAACAAGAAAAUAGCUGAUACAUGUGAAAUAUUGGCUGCCUUAGUAAAUAACGAGGUUCAGUCAUGCAGUGUACAGACACGUGUAUGCUUUAACAUUCUAGAAAAGAAAAAUGUUUCUUUGUUGACUGUUCGAGUGAUAACGCAUACGAAGUGAUGCAUAAACCUACUUAGAAGUAGUGCUGUGCUCAAGGAGGCAACCACAUCAUCAGUCGACUGCUGAUGUCUUUUACUGCAGUGUCAUCAGUAACUGAGGCAUUCACAGUUGAGAGAUCAGAGGAGCCUCAAAUAGGUAUGCUUGUCGUUUACUAUCUAUUUAGGUUUCAAUUAUCCACAAGUAUUAGUGAAUAAUUAUAAUUUUCUCCAUGUCUUAGUUAUCAGACCUUUUACAAAUGUGUCUUUUAAUAUGUGCAGGGGGACACUGAGAUCCUAGGACAUUGCAUUGGCAUUGCAUGGUGUGUCCAAACCCUUCGCUAAUAAGAAGUAUGUAAUGUGUGUAGUGUGUUUGUCUCAAUUUUGCACAUCACUAUUUUUGUUUGUUUUUUGGUUUUGGUGUGUGUAUGUGUGUUUGUGUGUCCUCCCUAAUUGUUUUUACUUUUAAUUUUAGUAGGUGAAUAUGUUGGGCUUCUGGAAGUAAUUCACUGGCUCAGAAGAAUUACUGGAAGCUGGAUCAGGAGAAAAGAAAUACCAGUGCUGAUGAAGCUGAAAAUUUCAAGUUAAUUCUUCAAAACAGCACUUUUCUGGGACAAUAUAGUUUUAGGUUGGAGUGCUGCAAUACUUUAAUUCCUGGGACUGACUUUCUACAG